CGCAUGUAGAUAUCGGUCUUCUCCCGACAUGCGCUCUGAUGACGGUUCCAUUUCCGCCAACUUAGGGUGAGAGUUAAGAGCCGGAGCCCUGUUGCCACCUGCAAAAUGCCUUAGCAACAUGUGGCAACUAUCUGCCCGAAGCAAGUUGCAAGCCAGCCCAGUUCAGGUUGCCACAUGCCAUGCUGGGUAUUCCCAGCGCGCUAGCGCACCUGCUUGGGCAGCUCGCUAUGGCUGCCGUCGACAGUUGACCCUGGUAUGCCAUCGCUAGAGUCGCAGCCCGCUCCGGCCAACCUCGCUCCUCCGCAACCGACACACGAACCCGACGUCACUUGAUCCCACAAUUCCAGCGACUUUUGCGACCGGCUCUCCACCGACCGCUUGGAUGCUUGCGCCCGGUCGCUGCCCCAGCUACUUCCGCGGUGAAAUAACAACGGUGAGCACUCUCAACCACUGCGAGGACAGCCCUAGCAACCGCACUGCGUAAGAAGUACAGCAUCGAUUUGCUGCAUGUUGAUUUUGGCGCAAAUGGGGGGUGCAAGCAGUUUGUUUCUCUCAGACGCGAGCUAGCGCCCAAGCGCGCGAUAUGGGGGCGAGGAGCCACUAUGUAGCUGUAACGAUUGCAUGAGUGGCGAAUUUUACUUCGAGGGUCUAGGGUGCGAGCGGAGUGGGAUUACCCCCCGAGGGGCACGCCAUGCGCUCAGGCCCCAUGCAACAGAAAUUCGCCGGGCACCAACCCACGCACAGAUAAUUCAUAGGACUACACCAUAGCCAUCAGAGACCGGCCGGGAACAAGCCCCGCAAGCGGGGCAGCAUGGGCGCGACACCACCCUGCCGCGCCAACUCACCCCAAACACGCCCCAACCACUUGUGCGACACAAGGGCUACCAUACAGUAGCGCGCGACACCUAAUCGCGUGCGCCGGAGUGUGCGAGCAAACAUUGUACGGAGGAGCUCGUUUGGGCCCUAGGACGCAGGGCCUGGGCUGGCAUUUGGUGCAUUCAAUAGAGCAUAGAAAACCGAGGCCACAUAUGUGCUCGGGUGCGCAAAGGUCGGCGGAAUUGUGGGAUCAAGUGACGUGGAAAUGGAUCUGGGGGACUGCGGGGUUUUGGGGUGUGUUGGGUUGGUGGCGUGAAGGGUGUGAUUUGUGAGGAAUUUAUCGAUGCAUGCCAAGUUGCACGCCUUUCCCCUGUGUUUCCUACAUGCCCCUGAACCCUCCCUUUGCUGGCUGCAGGCGAAGCGACAAGUGGUACCGCUGGUACCACCCACGGGGGCCUUGUGCCCAAGCCGUGGUGGCGCAUGGUAACUAUACACGUGGCGGUCAUCGACAUUGCUUUGUGCCGGCGCGCAGCACCCAGGAUGUGCGGCGAUCGCUGAAAUGCAGUUGUGGGGUCCACACUCAUAUGGCACCCACGCCCCACACAGCACUGAUGCAGGGCUCCUGCAGCCGUCACGCCAUGGGAAUCAGCAUAUGGGCAGUGGCCUGUGCAUACUUCUCUGUGGCCUGGCGGGGCAUCUGGCCAGGGCGUUUGACUAGCGGCAUGGGGCCUGCACGCCGGUAGGGGGGCGCAGGCCCAAAAUGAUGCAAGGAAGCUGAUGUGUUGCGUGAGGUGCGCAGCGGUUCCUGAUGGACGUGGGUGCUUUCAUGCGUAUGUAUAUUGGCUAUGUGUGUUGAUCUUUGCACCAGGGUGGUGUCGCCGCGCAGCGGAGCAUUGGUGUUGGUGCACGGGGCGUGAACAUUGGGGCCCGCAGUUGGGAUCGCGCCGGCACGGUCGCGGGCACCGCUGAAGAUAUGUUGGCGCGACCGGUCGCUUAUGGUGCACGCUAAUACCCGCAUACUGUGUGUAAGCACCGAUUGCAAUUAUAAGUUGCGCAUGUAGAUAUCGGUCUUCUCCCGACAUGCGCUCUGAUGACGGUUCCAUUUCCGCCAACUUAGGGUGAGAGUUAAGAGCCGGAGCCCUGUUGCCACCUGCAAAAUGCCUUAGCAACAUGUGGCAACUAUCUGCCCGAAGCAAGUUGCAAGCCAGCCCAGUUCAGGUUGCCACAUGCCAUGCUGGGUAUUCCCAGCGCGCUAGCGCACCUGCUUGGGCAGCUCGCUAUGGCUGCCGUCGACAGUUGACCCUGGUAUGCCAUCGCUAGAGUCGCAGCCCGCUCCGGCCAACCUCGCUCCUCCGCAACCGACACACGAACCCGACGUCUGACGUGGAAAUGGAUCUGGGGGACUGCGGGGUUUUGGGGUGUGUUGGGUUGGUGGCGUGAAGGGUGUGAUUUGUGAGGAAUUUAUCGAUGCAUGCCAAGUUGCACGCCUUUCCCCUGUGUUUCCUACAUGCCCCUGAACCCUCCCUUUGCUGGCUGCAGGCGAAGCGACAAGUGGUACCGCUGGUACCACCCACGGGGGCCUUGUGCCCAAGCCGUGGUGGCGCAUGGUAACUAUACACGUGGCGGUCAUCGACAUUGCUUUGUGCCGGCGCGCAGCACCCAGGAUGUGCGGCGAUCGCUGAAAUGCAGUUGUGGGGUCCACACUCAUAUGGCACCCACGCCCCACACAGCACUGAUGCAGGGCUCCUGCAGCCGUCACGCCAUGGGAAUCAGCAUAUGGGCAGUGGCCUGUGCAUACUUCUCUGUGGCCUGGCGGGGCAUCUGGCCAGGGCGUUUGACUAGCGGCAUGGGGCCUGCACGCCGGUAGGGGGGCGCAGGCCCAAAAUGAUGCAAGGAAGCUGAUGUGUUGCGUGAGGUGCGCAGCGGUUCCUGAUGGACGUGGGUGCUUUCAUGCGUAUGUAUAUUGGCUAUGUGUGUUGAUCUUUGCACCAGGGUGGUGUCGCCGCGCAGCGGAGCAUUGGUGUUGGUGCACGGGGCGUGAACAUUGGGGCCCGCAGUUGGGAUCGCGCCGGCACGGUCGCGGGCACCGCUGAAGAUAUGUUGGCGCGACCGGUCGCUUAUGGUGCACGCUAAUACCCGCAUACUGUGUGUAAGCACCGAUUGCAAUUAUAAGUUGCGCAUGUAGAUAUCGGUCUUCUCCCGACAUGCGCUCUGAUGACGGUUCCAUUUCCGCCAACUUAGGGUGAGAGUUAAGAGCCGGAGCCCUGUUGCCACCUGCAAAAUGCCUUAGCAACAUGUGGCAACUAUCUGCCCGAAGCAAGUUGCAAGCCAGCCCAGUUCAGGUUGCCACAUGCCAUGCUGGGUAUUCCCAGCGCGCUAGCGCACCUGCUUGGGCAGCUCGCUAUGGCUGCCGUCGACAGUUGACCCUGGUAUGCCAUCGCUAGAGUCGCAGCCCGCUCCGGCCAACCUCGCUCCUCCGCAACCGACACACGAACCCGACGUCAGACGUGGAAAUGGAUCUGGGGGACUGCGGGGUUUUGGGGUGUGUUGGGUUGGUGGCGUGAAGGGUGUGAUUUGUGAGGAAUUUAUCGAUGCAUGCCAAGUUGCACGCCUUUCCCCUGUGUUUCCUACAUGCCCCUGAACCCUCCCUUUGCUGGCUGCAG
This 3479-nucleotide long non-coding RNA is filed under the name Chlamydomonas reinhardtii. RNAcentral describes it as "long non-coding RNA (CREI_LNC001007)". Lineage: Eukaryota; Viridiplantae; Chlorophyta; Chlorophyceae; Chlamydomonadales; Chlamydomonadaceae. The record is from RNAcentral.